This 590-nucleotide ribosomal RNA is filed under the name Lactobacillus intestinalis. RNAcentral's name for it is "bacterial SSU rRNA". It matches the Rfam family "Bacterial small subunit ribosomal RNA", at positions 153 to 742 of the family's 1533-position model. Lineage: Bacteria; Bacillati; Bacillota; Bacilli; Lactobacillales; Lactobacillaceae. The record is from RNAcentral.
GAAACAGGUGCUAAUACCGGAUAACAACAAUAGCUGCAUGGCUAUUGCUUAAAAGGCGGCGAAAGCUGUCGCUAAGGAUGGACCCGCGGUGCAUAGCUAGUUGUAAGGUAAUGGCUUACCAAGGCGACGAUGCAUAGCCGAGUUGAGAGACUGAUCGGCCACUUGGGACUGAGACACGGCCCAAACUCCUACGGGAGGCAGCAGUAGGGAAUCUUCCACAAUGGGCGAAAGCCUGAUGGAGCAACGCCGCUGAGUGAAGAAGGUUUUCGGAUCGUAAAGCUCUGUUGUUGGUGAAGAAGGAUAGAGGUAGUAACUGGCCCCUAUUUGACGGUAAUCAACCAGAAAGUCACGGCUAACUACGUGCCAGCAGCCGCGGUAAUACGUAGUGGCAAGCGUUGCCGGAUUUAUUGGCGUAAGCGAGCGCAGGCGGAAGAUAAGUCUGAUGUGAAAGCCCCCGGCUUAACCGAGGAAUUGCAUCGGAAACUGGUUUCUUGAGGCAGAAGAGGAGAGUGGAACUCCAUGUGUAGCGGUGGAAUGCGUAGAUAUAUGGAAGAACACCAGUGGCGAAGGCGGCUUCUGGUCUGUAACUG